Molecule: ribosomal RNA, 649 nt
Filed under: uncultured bacterium
Lineage: Bacteria
Description: bacterial SSU rRNA
Rfam family: Bacterial small subunit ribosomal RNA
Source: RNAcentral
CAGGCCUAACACAUGCAAGUCGAGGGGCAGCGGGGAUUGCUUGCAAUCCGCCGGCGACCGGCGCACGGGUGCGGAACGCGUAUGGAACCUGCCCCUGUCAGGGGAAUAGCCCAGAGAAAUUUGGAUUAAUGCCCCAUGGUAUCCCACCACUGCAUGGUGGAGGGAUUAAAGAUUUAUCGGACAGGGAUGGCCAUGCGUACCAUUAGCUUGUUGGUGAGGUAACGGCUUACCAAGGCAACGAUGGUUAGGGGCCCUGAGAGGGGGAUCCCCCACACUGGUACUGAGACACGGACCAGACUCCUACGGGAGGCAGCAGUGAGGAAUAUUGGACAAUGGUCGGGAGACUGAUCCAGCCAUGCCGCGCAGGAUGACUGCCCUAUGGGUUGUAAACUGCUUUUAUACGGGAAGAAACGCACCUACGUGUAGGUGUCUGACGGUACCGUAAGAAUAAGGACCGGCUAACUCCGUGCCAGCAGCCGCGGUAAUACGGAGGGUCCGAGCGUUAUCCGGAAUCAUUGGGUUUAAAGGGUCCGUAGGCGGGCCGUUAAGUCAGGGGUGAAAGUCUGCGGCUCAACCGUAGAACUGCCUUUGAUACUGGCGGUCUUGAGUCGUUGUGGAGUUGCCGGAACAUGUGGUGUAGCGGUGAAAU